ACUUUCUUCAGGGCUAUCAGAUGAAGGCAGCAACGAAAACACCACCACAAGACCAACUUCAGGCUGGAGCUGAUGAUGCCACACAGCGAGAAAAAAGGUAUAAUAUUAGGCAGAAACCCAAUAUAAAAAGAAAAGCAGAGUUGUUGUAGAUUCAUCGAGGGUUGGCGACCUGGUUCCAAUGAGCCAUCUCCCUGUUCCGACAGGGGCUUCCUGGAGCUCCUGCAACCCCAGGCAUUAGUUCCGGUGCAGUUCUAGGAUCAGAUCAAUUCACUCGACAACAAGAGAAACAAAUGGAGAUUCCUACACAAAGACUUUCAAGCACAAAGAAAUCCUGCUGCCUGUAAAGCGGAGCUGCCUCAGCCCUUGAUGAACGACAGAAAAUCUCACAUUCCAGGAAUUCAGAUGAAGUGAAGUGCUCUCAUGGGGACCAGGCAUGGUUAUGCCAGUCCACUGCCCUGCAAGCCUCAAGGGAAGCCAACUGCCCUUCAGCAAGUCACACCUGCCUUGGUGGAGGCCUUGAUUGGAAGUGCCACACGCUACAUGUCCAGUCCUGAGCGGGAGAAUCGGUGUAGGGACGUUCUGGGGAUGCCAGCUGUGGCCAGAUCAGGUCCAACUACAGAAGAAUAAUGAAGACUCCACCUGAGGGCUGGAAAAACAAAACCUCAAGUGUGAGGCAGCCAACCUGUUACCUCGAGGGACUGUUCCGCAGCACAGCGGGGCCAUGGGAACAGCAGCAGACACCCCGACCUCCUCGCUACCUGUGUGUGUAUUAACACGCCGGCCUCCUCGCUACCUGUGUGUGUAUUAACACGCCGGCCUCCUCGCUCCCUGUAUCAACUAUGGCCUGAGUAUGAUAGACUUAUCCAUGGUUUAAACAGAAUAUAUUGUUUUCAACUUUGAAAAUAAGAAUAUGGAAAUCCAGAUGCAGAAAUGUGAGAAGAAAAGAGAGUAAACAGAGUGGAAGGUCAGGUGACCUUGCCUGUCAUGAAUAUGAAGGUCAAGGUGUGUGAAUUGUGAAAUUUCCAAGAGAACCUCACUGAAGCAAAGAAUGAAGAAAGAAUUGCAUUUGGCCCUGGGAGGGUGCAGGGGUGAAUGGUGCAGGAGCUAAAUCUUUAUCAUACCCAGAAAUCAACAGCCACUAUUUGAAAUCAUCUAAAUUCGUGCUGCUAACCUUCAGUGUACACACGAAUCACCUGGGGAUCUUACUAAAAGCUAGUUUCUGAUUCACUAAA
Molecule: long non-coding RNA, 1232 nt
Filed under: Homo sapiens (human)
Lineage: Eukaryota; Metazoa; Chordata; Mammalia; Primates; Hominidae
Description: novel transcript
Source: RNAcentral